RNAcentral lists this transfer RNA (72 nucleotides) under Shapirovirus cbk. RNAcentral's name for it is "Caulobacter virus phiCbK tRNA". It matches the Rfam family "tRNA". From Rfam's summary of the family: Transfer RNA (tRNA) molecules are approximately 80 nucleotides in length. Their secondary structure includes four short double-helical elements and three loops (D, anti-codon, and T loops). RNAcentral also lists the same sequence under 6 other names. Lineage: Duplodnaviria; Heunggongvirae; Uroviricota; Caudoviricetes; Jeanschmidtviridae. The record is from Rfam by way of RNAcentral.
GCGUCCAUCGUAUAUGGGUUAUUGCUUCGCGUUGCCAACGCGACGAACCGGGUUCGAGUCCCGGUGGACGCU